Molecule: long non-coding RNA, 317 nt
Filed under: Capsella rubella
Lineage: Eukaryota; Viridiplantae; Streptophyta; Magnoliopsida; Brassicales; Brassicaceae
Description: long non-coding RNA (CRUB_LNC002952)
Source: RNAcentral
AUAAUCUAUGCAAGUCGAGCUCGGUAACAGUGUUACAACUUCUUAUUUGCACGGUGUCGGGGACACACAUUACGGUAAAAAUUCAAGUUUCACCACUCAUGACCACUGUUCCUUUUCAUAAUUUAAAUUGUGUUUAGAUAAGAUAGUAUAAAUAAACAAACUUAAUUAGUAUUUUUUUUAUUUUUCUUUUGUAUGAAGAUUAAGAAAUGUGAGACUAGUGACAAGUAGAUCAGUUUAGAGUAGUCAUCAGAAUUUGGAUUCUAGAUCGGGUUUAGAUAAUUUGAAUGGGGAUUUUAUUAUCCAUUCAAGUUUAAAAU